RNAcentral lists this long non-coding RNA (668 nucleotides) under Cottoperca gobio. Its description in RNAcentral is "lncRNA (ENSCGOG00000016468.1)". The record is from RNAcentral. Lineage: Eukaryota; Metazoa; Chordata; Actinopteri; Perciformes; Bovichtidae.
UUGCUUUCACUGUAAGGGACAGACUUCCAGCCUGUUAAAGUGGCACACACCGGGGAAGCUAUUAAAGCUGCAGAUCGGAAACGCUCAUUGCAACCGCAGGCACUCAUGCAUCGGCAUACACGUGCAUACGCGCGGACGCGUCACCGCCGCCUUCACUGCCAGCUUGUGAUGUGACGGGAAGGGAAGAGAGUCAAUUUGAGACAAAGGGGGUUCUGCCUUUUAAGACAAGAUAUGAAGUUACGUCCCAGCAAGCUACAGGACACUCUGUCUACAAUGUGAACCGCUUUCGAUUGCUGGAAGAGAGAAACCGAGCUCUGAAGCUUGAGGUAGCCACGCUUCGCCAAGAGAAACAGCAGUAUAGGAAACUGAGAGCAAAGCUCCAUGCUGCCUCGCAGGCGAAAAAUCGUCUAAACCUUGAGCUGAUCAACCACCACCUGAAGACGUCCAAGUAUGACCAGGUGCGAACAGACUAUGACCAGCUGAGACAGACCUUUGCUGUAGUGAGCCAGGAGAGAGACGUGGCCCAGCAGCAGAGGAGCCAACUCCAAGGCAAAGUGGAGAACCUGGAACAGGUUCUAAAGGUGAGACGUCACUACGUUGUGUUUGCUUUCCUCUCAUGAUUCCAUAAACAUGAUCCCAUGAACACCUAAAUGUAAAUAUCAAUUAAG